This 74-nucleotide transfer RNA is filed under the name Fuerstiella marisgermanici. RNAcentral describes it as "Fuerstia marisgermanicae tRNA-Ala". It matches the Rfam family "tRNA". Rfam says of the family: Transfer RNA (tRNA) molecules are approximately 80 nucleotides in length. Their secondary structure includes four short double-helical elements and three loops (D, anti-codon, and T loops). The record is from RNAcentral. Lineage: Bacteria; Pseudomonadati; Planctomycetota; Planctomycetia; Planctomycetales; Planctomycetaceae.
GGGGACGUAGCUCAAUUGGGAGAGCGCCGCCCUUGCAAGGCGGAGGUUGUCGGUUCGAGCCCGAUCGUCUCCAC